This 253-nucleotide ribosomal RNA is filed under the name uncultured bacterium. RNAcentral's name for it is "partial 16S ribosomal RNA". It matches the Rfam family "Bacterial small subunit ribosomal RNA", at positions 524 to 776 of the family's 1533-position model. The record is from RNAcentral.
UACGGAGGGUGCGAGCGUUAAUCGGAAUGACUGGGCGUAAAGGGCAUGUAGGCGGAUAGUUAAGUUAGAUGUGAAAUCCCUGGGCUUAACUUAGGAACUGCAUUCGAAACAGUUUAUCUAGAGUAUUGUAGAGGAAGGUAGAAUUCCAUGUGUAGCGGUGAAAUGCGUAGAGAUGUGGAGGAAUACCGGUGGCGAAGGCGGCUUUCUGGACAGAUACUGACGCUGAGGUACGAAAGCGUGGGGAGCAAAUAGG